GUGGGGAUCUUGACCGUUUACAAGUUUUCAAACAAGAGGGGGUGGGGUGACCCCCUUGGGACUUCCCUCUUAUUUCAUUUCAUUUGUUUUAUUGUCCCCUACAAGAAUAUAUAUGGUUAAGGGGUGGGGAUGUUGACCGUUUACAAGUUUUCAAACAAGAGGGGGUGGGGUAACCCCCUCCGGACUUCCCUUUUAUUUCAUUUCAUCUGUUUUAUUGUUCCCUACAAGAAUAUAUAUG
Molecule: long non-coding RNA, 238 nt
Filed under: Mytilus galloprovincialis (Mediterranean mussel)
Lineage: Eukaryota; Metazoa; Mollusca; Bivalvia; Mytilida; Mytilidae
Source: RNAcentral